This 986-nucleotide small RNA is filed under the name Pongo abelii (Sumatran orangutan). Its description in RNAcentral is "processed transcript". The record is from RNAcentral. Lineage: Eukaryota; Metazoa; Chordata; Mammalia; Primates; Hominidae.
CUAGAACCGCGGGAGCUUCCGUCCCUGAGUAGAAUUCGAGGGUGUAAAGAAGAGGAAGGGGAAAAAUAUCUUGUACCAGCCCAGGGGUGAAGAAGCCCCCGGCCUGAGAAAGAAGGAGUGGGGGAGGCGAACAGUCUCGUUGCUGCCUCUGUGUACGCUGAGGGGGGAGGCUGGAGUGCAAUGGCGCGAUCUCAGCUCACUGCAACCUCCACCUUCCGGGUUCAAGCGAUUCUCCUGCCUCAGCCUCCCGAGUAGCUGGGAUUACAGGCGCCUGCCACCACGCCCGGCAAUUUUUUUUGUAUUUUUAGUAGAAAUGGGGUUUCACCAUGUUGGCCAGGCUGGUCUUGAACUCCUGACCUCAGGUGAUCCACCUUCCUUAGCCUCCCAAAGUGCUGGGAUUACAGGCGUAAGCCACCGUGCCCAGCCUGAAAUAUAAUUCUUAAUGAAAAGGGGAAUGCAUCUUUCCAGACUGAGUGUCGAAGAAACAAGUUUAAUCAAAAUCUCUUCUGCUGUGUGUUUCCCUUUGGUGCCUCCAUCCUUUGGUGCAGAGAUACAAGCCGAUAUACUCCAACUAAUCCCCUCAGGCCACAGCAUGGGAGCAAACCCACCCUCUUUGCAUGCAGGGCACAGCACACACCUAACCAGGCUGCAAAUUAUAGCUGUUGAAUUGUGCCAUCAGGAAAUGACAGUUGCCUUCAUAGCCAUCAGAAGUGGAUUUGCUAUGAAGAGCAGCCCACUGUGGGAGACACUGAUGGCCCUCGCUGACUCUAGAGUGGAGUGAAUUGCUACCUUGCUGACCAGGAAAUGAUCGAUGCCUGGCACCUGGCAGUGAAUGGGGCGUCCUGCAAUGAUCCGCACGCGCCUGUUCUCAGAAAUUUGCAGCACAAUGUUGUUAUCCAAGACAUACAAUGAAUUGUCCAUAGGAUUUACUGCAAGGUCUGUUGGCCACUCUAAUCGCACCUGUGAAAAGAACAGAGCACAUACCA